GACGAACGCUGGCGGCGUGCUUAACACAUGCAAGUCGAACGGAAAGGCCCUGCUUUUGUGGGGUGCUCGAGUGGCGAACGGGUGAGUAACACGUGAGUAACCUGCCCUUGACUUUGGGAUAACUUCAGGAAACUGGGGCUAAUACCGGAUAGGAGCUCCUGCUGCAUGGUGGGGGUUGGAAAGUUUCGGCGGUUGGGGAUGGACUCGCGGCUUAUCAGCUUGGUGGUGGGGUAGUGGCUUACCAAGGCUUUGACGGGUAGCCGGCCUGAGAGGGUGACCGGACACAUUGGGAAUGAGAUACGGCCCGGACUCCUACGGGAGGCAGCAGUGGGGAAUAUUGCACAAUGGGCGGAAGGCUGAUGCAGCAACGCCGCGUGCGGGAUGACGGCCUUCGGGUUGUAAACCGCUUUCGCCUGUGACGAAGCGUGAGUGACGGUAAUGGGUAAAGAAGCACCGGCUAACUACGUG
This 468-nucleotide ribosomal RNA is filed under the name uncultured bacterium. RNAcentral describes it as "partial 16S ribosomal RNA". It matches the Rfam family "Bacterial small subunit ribosomal RNA", at positions 28 to 507 of the family's 1533-position model. The record is from RNAcentral.